GGUCCUCGCAAUGAGGCUGAUUGAUGCCUCGGGUGUCCUCAGCCCUUCCAUUAAACUACUGCUGCAAAAUGCAAGAAUACAACCAUGCGAGGCAAGUGCAUGAACUCAGCUGUUAGCCCCAAACUUCCAGUGUUGGUUUCUACUGCAAACCGUGUGCCUGCACAGGAGGGGUCCUGCCUCUACCAGCCAGAACUCAGAUCUGGUGUUGCAAACAGCUCCCAGCCUUAAAGCCAUUUACCUGUUGGCUGUGCAUGGGAAACAAAGGGCCAGAAAACUUAAUCAAGAGCUGGUGGCCCAGGUGCUGAGGACACCCAUCGGACCCUCCCUCUCAGCACUGCUGUAGCUCCUUGGAGCCCACCCAACCCUGAGGGACCCGACUCACUGACGAUGUCCAGGACGCUGUGCUCUGAGAAGGUGUACUGGUUGUAGCCGCCCAGGUCGCCUCGGA
This is a long non-coding RNA of Mus caroli (Ryukyu mouse), 448 nucleotides long. RefSeq lists it as uncharacterized. The record is from RefSeq and is a predicted model, not a curated record. Lineage: Eukaryota; Metazoa; Chordata; Mammalia; Rodentia; Muridae.